This 281-nucleotide ribosomal RNA is filed under the name Nipaecoccus nipae. Its description in RNAcentral is "partial 28S large subunit ribosomal RNA". The record is from RNAcentral. Lineage: Eukaryota; Metazoa; Arthropoda; Insecta; Hemiptera; Pseudococcidae.
UAAACCGUUCGGGGGGAAACGGACAGAGCUUGUGAAUCCGGGCGACGGAAUUCAGAAUUUGCGCUCGCGCAGGUUCGAUAUUUCCGUCGCCGUUUUUCGGACGUCGCGACCCAUUUGGCGUCGGUUUGAGGAGAUGCGCGAAAGUUCGCCGGCGUUUUCGGACUUGUUCGGCGCGUCGACGAGUGCGUAUUUUUCUGACUGACUCGCCAGAUGGUAUUCGUAAUGGUGGUCGCUGCGGCCUCCUAGAGCGCCGUAGCGAUACCAGUCUGCGACGAAUCUUC